RNAcentral lists this ribosomal RNA (481 nucleotides) under Citrobacter koseri. Its description in RNAcentral is "bacterial SSU rRNA". It matches the Rfam family "Bacterial small subunit ribosomal RNA", at positions 927 to 1408 of the family's 1533-position model. The record is from RNAcentral. Lineage: Bacteria; Pseudomonadati; Pseudomonadota; Gammaproteobacteria; Enterobacterales; Enterobacteriaceae.
AAGCGGUGGAGCAUGUGGUUUAUUCGAUGCAACGCGAAGAACCUUACCUACUCUUGACAUCCAGAGAACUUAGCAGAGAUGCUUUGGUGCCUUCGGGAACUCUGAGACAGGUGCUGCAUGGCUGUCGUCAGCUCGUGUUGUGAAAUGUUGGGUUAAGUCCCGCAACGAGCGCAACCCUUAUCCUUUGUUGCCAGCGGUUCGGCCGGGAACUCAAAGGAGACUGCCAGUGAUAAACUGGAGGAAGGUGGGGAUGACGUCAAGUCAUCAUGGCCCUUACGAGUAGGGCUACACACGUGCUACAAUGGCAUAUACAAAGAGAAGCGACCUCGCGAGAGCAAGCGGACCUCAUAAAGUAUGUCGUAGUCCGGAUUGGAGUCUGCAACUCGACUCCAUGAAGUCGGAAUCGCUAGUAAUCGUGGAUCAGAAUGCCACGGUGAAUACGUUCCCGGGCCUUGUACACACCCGCCCGUCACACCAUGGG